This is a long non-coding RNA of Anolis carolinensis (green anole), 1531 nucleotides long. RefSeq lists it as uncharacterized. The transcript is spliced from 2 exons. Lineage: Eukaryota; Metazoa; Chordata; Lepidosauria; Squamata; Anolidae. The record is from RefSeq and is a predicted model, not a curated record.
UGGAACCAAGUUACUGAGCAUUGAGCCCCCGGAGACUAAAGACAUCACUCUCUCGGUCACUUACGUGGAUAAUUUUGAAUUUUGGAAUUUCAGAAAUGGGACAUUCAAACUAUACAAGACAGACGUUGUAUGCAGUCCUGUGGUGGGGAAAAUGGUCUGAUGUUGACAUCCUAGAUCUCCAUAACUUGAAUGAACGAAUACUUACUUCUCAAGAUUAUGGGGGAAAGGGGGAAUCGGAGGCGGCCCAACAAUGAGGUGAAUUAGGCAGUCGCCUGUGGCGCAAAACAUACAGGGGCGCAGUCGAGACUGCUUUUUCUGUUGAUUUGUUGUAAAACAUGAUGUUUUGGUGCUUAGUUUGUAAAAUCUUAAUGUAAUUUGAUGUUUAAUAGGCUUUUCCUUAAUCCCUCCUUAUUAUCCAACAUUUUUGCUUACCCAACGCUUUUAUUUUUCAGUGAUUGGUUUGGGGGGGGGGGGGUGCCAAAAUUCUGUUCUCCUACACUUGAAAAAUACCUAGGGCUGGCUCUGGUUAGAAUGAUUCUCCAAAAUGUUAGAAAUACAAUAGGGUUGGUGGACACAUCCCUAUGGAAGAUGCAAUUAUGUCUUUCCAGGUAUUCUGUUGUACUUGGAUGUCCCCAAACCCAAUACUAUGGCUGUCCAAAGACUUACACACUUACAUUGACAUCCGCGAGGCAGUCAGGCACGUUUUGUUUAGCUUCAGUUUCGAAAGGCGGGUUAUGAUCCAUGUUGACAUGUCCUUGGCUCAUCAAGCAGCCUGUGUUGUCAUUGUGUUUAAAAUAAUGAGCCGAAGAUCAGAUAAUGACUGAUGGCACAAUAGAUAGAUGUGGUUUUGGUUCAGGAACGUAAUGUCAUUCCUAUUUUGUGAUUGUGGCUCACAUCCUGGAGAGGAACACCUGUGCACUAUAAAAAGGAUGUCUCUCCUACCAGCAGAGGAAUUCAGCUAGAACACUUUGACCGGCUCCUCAAUUGCUAAAGCAGUGACACUUCAGCGGCAGAACAAUGGGCUGUUGUUGCGGAAGAUGCUCCAGGCGCCACAACCAAAAUCCCACUUAUGAAGGCCAUGGGCAGAAUAUGCAAGGAGGAGCGAAAGGAGGAGCAUCCUAUUCGAAAGGUGGAAGCUCGGGAGGACAAUCCGAAGGAUAUAAAGGUGCUCCUCAGCCACAAUAUAGCUCCGGCAGUGGCCAAGGAGGCAAAUCCUAGCCGACCAACCUCAAGAUUGGCAUUCACUUGGGCAACUGAAGACCUCUCCUGACAAGACCCCAGAUCCCGAAAUUUCAAAUGUGAAGAAUUCUAGAGGAAAGCAUAGCAAUCAGAUUGGGACUAUCUUUUAAAAAGGACUACAACAACAUCGUGUCAUCGGUUUAUUGCCUGGAUAUUACUUCCACUGGAGGCGAUAAAAAUGCAGUGUCCAUUCAUUGUUGUGUACUAUGCUUUAACCUAUAUUGACUUGUCCCUUUCCUGAAAUAAUAAUAAUAAUAAUAUAAUAAUAAUAGACUAUCCUUUACCCAAACAA